This 474-nucleotide ribosomal RNA is filed under the name uncultured bacterium. RNAcentral describes it as "partial 16S ribosomal RNA". It matches the Rfam family "Bacterial small subunit ribosomal RNA", at positions 34 to 540 of the family's 1533-position model. The record is from RNAcentral.
AACGAACGCUGGCGGCAUGCCUAACACAUGCAAGUCGAACGAGACCUUCGGGUCUAGUGGCGCACGGGUGCGUAACGCGUGGGAACCUGCCCUUAGGUUCGGAAUAACUCCCCGAAAGGGGUGCUAAUACCGGAUAAUGUCUUCGGACCAAAGAUUUAUCGCCUUUGGAUGGGCCCGCGUUGGAUUAGCUAGUUGGUAGGGUAAAAGCCUACCAAGGCGACGAUCCAUAGCUGGUCUGAGAGGAUGAUCAGCCACACUGGGACUGAGACACGGCCCAGACUGAGCGGGGAGGGAGCAGCGGGGAAUGGUGGACAUUGGCAAAAGGAGAGAGCAAGGAAUGGGGUGUGGGUGAUGAAGUCCGUAGGGUUGAAAACCGCUGGGACCUGGAAUGAGAACGACAGGAGGGGGACAACAAGCUCCAGCUAACGCCGUGCCAGCAGCAGCGGUAAUCAUCGGAAGAGCAAACGCCUGACG